Molecule: ribosomal RNA, 198 nt
Filed under: uncultured bacterium
Lineage: Bacteria
Description: partial 16S ribosomal RNA
Rfam family: Bacterial small subunit ribosomal RNA
Source: RNAcentral
GGCUGAAAUUACGCCUUCCAUGAAGCCGGAAUUGCUAGUAAUGGCAGGUCAGCAUACUGCCGUGAAUACGUUCCCGGGCCUUGUACACACCGCCCGUCACACCAUGAGAGUUGGGAAUACCCGAAGCCUGUGAGCUAACGAAAGAGGCAGCAGUCGAAGGUAGAAUCAAUGAUUGGGGUGAAGUCGUAACAAGGUACC